CUACGGGUCGCACCAGUCGCGAAUCUUCCGCAAUGCACGAAAGUGUGACGGAGCGACACCGCGUGGUGGAUGAAGCCCUUAGGGGCGUAAACACCUUUUAUGAGGGAGGAAGUUUAUUGACGUUACCUCAUGAAUAAGGGGCUCCCAAUUCUGUGCCAGCAGGAGCGGUAAUACAGAAGCCCCAAGCGUUACCCGGAUUCACUGGGCGUAAAGGGUGCGUAGGCGGUUAUAUUAGUCGGGUGUUAAAUUGUAGGGCUUAACCUUACAGCCGCAUCCGAAACGGUAUAACUAGAAGAAGUGAGAGGUGUACGGAACUCAAGGUGUAGGGGUGAAAUCCGUUGAUAUCUUGGGGAACACCAAAUGCGAAGGCAGUACACUGGCACUUUCUUGACGCUGAGGCACGAAAGCGUGGGUAGCGAACGGGAUUAGAUACCCCGGUAGUC
This 443-nucleotide ribosomal RNA is filed under the name uncultured bacterium. RNAcentral describes it as "partial 16S ribosomal RNA". It matches the Rfam family "Bacterial small subunit ribosomal RNA", at positions 339 to 795 of the family's 1533-position model. The record is from RNAcentral.